RNAcentral lists this ribosomal RNA (652 nucleotides) under uncultured bacterium. RNAcentral describes it as "bacterial SSU rRNA". It matches the Rfam family "Bacterial small subunit ribosomal RNA", at positions 57 to 701 of the family's 1533-position model. The record is from RNAcentral.
GCAGUCGACGGUAACAGGAACAGCUUGCUGUUUCGCUGACGAGUGGCGGACGGGUGAGUAAUGUCUGGGAAACUGCCUGAUGGAGGGGGAUAACUACUGGAAACGGUAGCUAAUACCGCAUAAUGUCGCAAGACCAAAGAGGGGGACCUUCGGGCCUCUUGCCAUCGGAUGUGCCCAGAUGGGAUUAGCUAGUAGGUGGGGUAACGGCUCACCUAGGCGACGAUCCCUAGCUGGUCUGAGAGGAUGACCAGCCACACUGGAACUGAGACACGGUCCAGACUCCUACGGGAGGCAGCAGUGGGGAAUAUUGCACAAUGGGCGCAAGCCUGAUGCAGCCAUGCCGCGUGUAUGAAGAAGGCCUUCGGGUUGUAAAGUACUUUCAGCGGGGAGGAAGGGAGUAAAGUUAAUACCUUUGCUCAUUGACGUUACCCGCAGAAGAAGCACCGGCUAACUCCGUGCCAGCAGCCGCGGUAAUACGGAGGGUGCAAGCGUUAAUCGGAAUUACUGGGCGUAAAGCGCACGCAGGCGGUUUGUUAAGUCAGAUGUGAAAUCCCCGGGCUCAACCUGGGAACUGCAUCUGAUACUGGCAAGCUUGAGUCUCGUAGAGGGGGGUAGAAUUCCAGGUGUAGCGGUGAAAUGCGUAGAGAUCUGG